Molecule: ribosomal RNA, 598 nt
Filed under: Neobacillus citreus
Lineage: Bacteria; Bacillati; Bacillota; Bacilli; Caryophanales; Bacillaceae
Description: partial 23S ribosomal RNA
Rfam family: Bacterial large subunit ribosomal RNA
Source: RNAcentral
UUAUAGUACCGAAGUUCCUGAUUCCACACUGCCAAGAAAAGCCUCUAGCGAGAUAAAAGGUGCCCGUACCGCAAACCGACACAGGUAGGCGAGGAGAGAAUCCUAAGGUGAGCGAGAGAACUCUCGUUAAGGAACUCGGCAAAAUGACCCCGUAACUUCGGGAGAAGGGGUGCUUUUUGGGGUGAAUAGCCCCGAAGAGCCGCAGUGAAUAGGCCCAGGCGACUGUUUAGCAAAAACACAGGUCUCUGCAAAGCCGCAAGGCGAAGUAUAGGGGCUGACGCCUGCCCGGUGCUGGAAGGUUAAGAGGAGGGGUUAGCGCAAGCGAAGCUCUGAAUCGAAGCCCCAGUAAACGGCGGCCGUAACUAUAACGGUCCUAAGGUAGCGAAAUUCCUUGUCGGGUAAGUUCCGACCCGCACGAAAGGCGUAACGAUCUGGGCACUGUCUCAACGAGAGACUCGGUGAAAUUAUAGUACCUGUGAAGAUGCAGGUUACCCGCGACAGGACGGAAAGACCCCAUGGAGCUUUACUGUAGCCUGAUAUUGAAUUUUGGUACAGCUUGUACAGGAUAGGUAGGAGCCGUAGAAACCGGAGCGCCAGC